CCUACGGGAGGCAGCAGUGGGGAAUAUUGGACAAUGGGGGGAACCCUGAUCCAGCCAUGCCGCGUGUGUGAAGAAGGCCCUCGGGUUGUAAAGCACUUUCAGUGAGGAAGAACGCCUGGUGGUUAAUACCCAUCAGGAAAGACAUCACUCACAGAAGAAGCACCGGCUAACUCCGUGCCAGCAGCCGCGGUAAUACGGAGGGUGCGAGCGUUAAUCGGAAUUACUGGGCGUAAAGCGCGCGUAGGUGGCUUGAUAAGCCGGUUGUGAAAGCCCCGGGCUCAACCUGGGAACGGCAUCCGGAAUGGUAAAGUUGGAGGGAAGGGGAGGAAGGGAGAAUCCCCGGGUUGCGGGUGAAAGGGGUGGAGAUCGGGAGGAAUACCGGGGGCGAAGCGGGCUUUCUGGACGGACACUGACACUGAGGUGCGAAGCGUGGGUAGCAAACAGGAUUAGAUACCCUUGUAGUC
Molecule: ribosomal RNA, 464 nt
Filed under: Vreelandella stevensii
Lineage: Bacteria; Pseudomonadati; Pseudomonadota; Gammaproteobacteria; Oceanospirillales; Halomonadaceae
Description: partial 16S ribosomal RNA
Rfam family: Bacterial small subunit ribosomal RNA
Source: RNAcentral